CAGUAGCCACGGUAAUACGAAGGGGGCUAGCGUUGCUCGGAAUUACUGGGCGUAAAGGGAGCGUAGGCGGAUCGUUUAGUCAGGGGUGGAAUCCCGGGCUCAACCUCGGAACUGCCUUUGAUACUGGCGAUCUUGAGCAUGGGAGAGGUGUGUGGAACUCCGAGUGUAGAGGUGAAAUUCGUAGAUAUUCGGAAGAACACCAGUGGCGAAGGCGACACACUGGCCCAUUACUGACGCUGAGGCUCGAAAGCGUGGGGAGCAAAUGGGAUUAGAUACCCCCGUAGUCCCUGUCUCUUAUACA
RNAcentral lists this ribosomal RNA (301 nucleotides) under uncultured bacterium. RNAcentral's name for it is "partial 16S ribosomal RNA". It matches the Rfam family "Bacterial small subunit ribosomal RNA", at positions 509 to 808 of the family's 1533-position model. The record is from RNAcentral.